CCAUCCCAGUUCGGAUCGCAGGCUGCAACCCGCCUGCGUGAAGUUGGAAUCGCUAGUAAUCGCGGAUCAGCAUGCCGCGGUGAAUACGUUCCCGGGCCUUGUACACACCGCCCGUCACACCAUGAGAGUCGGGAACACCCGAAGUCCGUAGCCUAACAGCAAGGGGGCGCGGCCGAAGGUGGGUUCGAUAAUUGGGGUGAAGUCGUAACAAGGUAAC
RNAcentral lists this ribosomal RNA (217 nucleotides) under uncultured bacterium. Its description in RNAcentral is "partial 16S ribosomal RNA". It matches the Rfam family "Bacterial small subunit ribosomal RNA", at positions 1283 to 1500 of the family's 1533-position model. The record is from RNAcentral.